Molecule: ribosomal RNA, 497 nt
Filed under: uncultured bacterium
Lineage: Bacteria
Description: partial 16S ribosomal RNA
Rfam family: Bacterial small subunit ribosomal RNA
Source: RNAcentral
GAUGAACGCUGGCGGCGUGCCUAAUACAUGCAAGUCGAGCGAACAGACGAGGAGCUUUCUCCUCUGACGUUAGCGGCGGACGGGUUAGUAACACGUGGAUAACCUACCUAUAAGACUGGGAUAACUUCGGGAAACCGGAGCUAAUACCGGAUAAUAUAUUGAACCGCAUGGUUCAAUAGUGAAAGACGGUUUUGCUGUCACUUAUAGAUGGAUCCGCGCCGCAUUAGCUAGUUGGUAAGGUAACGGCUUACCAAGGCAACGAUGCGUAGCCGACCUGAGAGGGUGAUCGGCCACACUGGAACUGAGACACGGUCCAGACUCCUACGGGAGGCAGCAGUAGGGAAUCUUCCGCAAUGGGCGAAAGCCUGACGGAGCAACGCCGCGUGAGUGAUGAAGGUCUUCGGAUCGUAAAACUCUGUUAUUAGGGAAGAACAAAUGUGUAAGUAACUAUGCACGUCUUGACGGUACCUAAUCAGAAAGCCACGGCUAACUACGUG